ACAAAAGAUAGAGGCGCGGAAAACAUCAGUAAUUCUCAGAGGGACACCGACGAAGGGAACGAAAGGGGAACCGCCGAAGCAAAGCUGCGGGUGCGCGCUUAUGCUGGGAUGCAGGUGAACAAUCUGCAGACUGUCGCCUUUGGGUGGAGAGCUAUCAAUGGG
Molecule: regulatory RNA element, 162 nt
Organism: Acidaminococcus fermentans DSM 20731
Lineage: Bacteria; Bacillati; Bacillota; Negativicutes; Acidaminococcales; Acidaminococcaceae
Rfam family: Lysine riboswitch aptamer
About the family: Riboswitches are metabolite binding domains within certain messenger RNAs that serve as precision sensors for their corresponding targets. Allosteric rearrangement of mRNA structure is mediated by ligand binding, and this results in modulation of gene expression.
Source: Rfam